This 274-nucleotide ribosomal RNA is filed under the name uncultured bacterium. RNAcentral describes it as "partial 16S ribosomal RNA". It matches the Rfam family "Archaeal small subunit ribosomal RNA", at positions 473 to 747 of the family's 1478-position model. The record is from RNAcentral.
AAACCAGCACCUCAAGUGGUCAGGAUGAUUAUUGGGCCUAAAGCAUCCGUAGCCGGCUCUGUAAGUUUUCGGUUAAAUCUGUACGCUCAACGUACAGGCUGCCGGGAAUACUGCAGAGCUAGGGAAUGGGAGAGGUAGACGGUACUCGGGAGGAAGUGGUAAAAUGCUUUGAUCUCUCGAUGACCACCUGUGGCGAAGGCGGUCUACUAGAACACGUUCGACGGUGAGGGAUGAAAGCUGGGGGAGCAAACCGGAUUAGAUACCCGGGUAGUCC